RNAcentral lists this ribosomal RNA (253 nucleotides) under uncultured bacterium. Its description in RNAcentral is "partial 16S ribosomal RNA". It matches the Rfam family "Bacterial small subunit ribosomal RNA", at positions 524 to 776 of the family's 1533-position model. The record is from RNAcentral.
UACAAAGGGGGCUAGCGUUGCUCGGAAUCACUGGGCGUAAAGCGCACGUAGGCGGCUUUUUAAGUCAGGGGUGAAAUCCUGGAGCUCAACUCCAGAACUGCCUUUGAUACUGAGAAGCUUGAGUCCGGGAGAGGUGAGUGGAACUGCGAGUGUAGAGGUGAAAUUCGUAGAUAUUGGGAAGAACACCGGUGGCGAAGGCGGCUCACUGGCUCAUUACUGACGCUCAGGCGCGACAGCGUGGGGAUCAAACAGG